This 1941-nucleotide long non-coding RNA is filed under the name Aedes aegypti (yellow fever mosquito). RNAcentral describes it as "lncRNA AAEL026890". Lineage: Eukaryota; Metazoa; Arthropoda; Insecta; Diptera; Culicidae. The record is from RNAcentral.
GAAAGUAUGUUGAUACUUUUUUCAGUUAGGUCAGUGAAAAACCAACUCAACUAGUUCAAAUUACUGUGAACGAGAUCGUCCAAAUCAACUUCACACGAACGCAAUUCGUCUUUCUAUUAUUCUUAUCAAAGUAUCCAAAAGUAUCUACAGUCGAAGCUUAUUAUAACGACAUCGCAGGGGACCGUCGUUAUAGAGAAAAGUCGCCAUAGAGAAUAGUUAUUAAAUAAAAUAAAUUGUUUUUCAAGGUGCCGAAAAAUGUCGCGAUAGAGAGCUUUUGUCACUAUAAAAGUUGAAGUUAUAACGAGCUUCGACUGUACAAGCCUUCCAACUAAUCAAUCAAGAUGUAAUGAAAUCGAAUAACCCCUGUAUAGAGCAGCUUUCUGCACGAAAGCAUUUAGCUUCUUUACAAGCGUAGCGCCACCUCUCUGUGAAAGAGAAAUGCAAUUCAGAAGCUUUUUGGCUGCGGCGUGAGUACCGUUGCGAUCUCACAACGUUGCAACAAACCAUCCAAAUUUUUUAGAAAAAGAUAGGCUGGCACUCAAAAACAAACCAGUGGAAAACGGACUAAAAAAAUGUAUAAGUCCAUCAUGCAUAUAAAACAGAAUGAGACAGCCUCAAUUUAGGUAGAUUUUUUAUGAAAAGAUGGGAAUUUCAAUAGCGUCCAGUGUUCAAGGUCACUGUUUGAAUGCAGAAUUUAGUUGGCAUGGGUUUUUUAAAUUUAUUCGAGUGGAGAUCGUGAACAAGUGCACAUCGGGAAAAAACUGAGUAUUGAAAGUUAAUACCAAGUGAAGUUGAAUUGAACAUCUUAACAAGGUAGUGAUUAAAAUAAGUUCAAACGUUUUGAGAAUUAAUUAUUAAAUUAAUUUAGGUACGGCAGAGCCAAGUGAUAGGCAAAUAUUUAAAUUAAAUAGUGUUGCUAGUAGAAUAACACGUGCUAAAAAAAACAACUCACCGGUAAGAAUAAGUUUGGUGUCUUGAUUUCAAAAGUGGUGAUCAGCUUGAAUUUCAAAUCAAUGUAGGCCCAAAAGAUCUCUAUCGGGAUUUAGCUGUUCUGGAAAGACAGGACGAGCUGGCUAAAACCGUAUUCGCUGGUAUAAUCCCCACUGCUCAACGUGGGUGCCAGUCUGGGACCAGAAAGUUGUUCGGAUACCCGUUAAACAUCCGAUAAGCAAUCCAGAAGGACCACCCUAAUCGCUUUCCCUCCUGACAAGCCACCCCACUCCCAUCCGGGGAAAUUCUGAGUGGAAGCGUUUGGGAGCAUCGUCUACUACCGCAUUACUAGAGACGGCCGCGCCACUGGUGGCCAACAUAGGAACCAGCAGUAUUCUCCAAGCGUUUCACUGCUCGACACGUCACACGGGUUGCCUACCUAAUAGCGCAACAUAAUCAGCCGAUCCGCUCGAUAGCCGAAUCUGCUGGAAUCGCCGACCAGGGGUCUGCAUCACGUUAGUGCACACGGAGCAGGAAUUGUGCAACACUACGCUCGUUCAGUUGGAUGUACGGUGCCCGCUGAUCGAAGCCCGUCUUCGUAUUCAAGUCCAAUAUCACCUGCCAGCCUUUCCGCCACCCGGCCAAGUCCCAUUGGUCGCUGCGUUACGACUACUACCACCACGCUCUUUCAGUUGGAUGAAUGGUGCCCGCUGAUCGAUGCCCUUCAUCACGCUCGUUUGAAUAUCAACCCGCCAUUCCGACUCGGGCCCAGUCCUAUUGGUCUCUGGGUUAACGAGUACCACGCCAUCUACCACGAUUUCACCACCAAGACGCUUCCCGCCACGCUGCUUCCGAUUGCUGCUGCCGAUCUUCUGCGCCAAAACAGGAUAACAGGUCAGAUCUGAUUUUUUUUUUUAUGAACCAUAAUGAGCUCGAAGAACUUCAUGUAAAGCAAGUGACGUCACUUAGGUAAAUUUAAAAACUAGAAUAUAGAACAUGUUGAAUUCAGAA